Long non-coding RNA from Columba livia (rock pigeon), 352 nucleotides. RefSeq lists it as uncharacterized. Lineage: Eukaryota; Metazoa; Chordata; Aves; Columbiformes; Columbidae. The record is from RefSeq and is a predicted model, not a curated record. The transcript is spliced from 2 exons.
UCCAAACCUGUUUCUUCACCAUGGUAAGAAGAGAUCACCACUUUCAAUAAAGUAGGUGCUUUACCUUCAGUUCCACCAGGCGGUGCUGUGGGGAGGAAAUAACAGUUACUGGUGGUAAGCUUUCAGAUGGAUCACCUAGCUGGGCCAAGCACUGAUCCAGAAGUCAUGGAAGCAGCCCACAGCAUUUUCAGACUUAUUAAGGUUUCUCCUCUCUUGACUUACCGUUUCAUUGCUGGCAAUAAAGUUCUGAUCCAAGGUUACAAUUUGCAACUUGACUAUAGAACAAAAGAAAAACAGGACUGGCUGAAAUGAAAUCAAGUCUGUUAAUAAUAAUAAAAAUGUAUGGCUAAGA